UUUAUUUUUUAUUUGUUUUUAUCUUUUAACUCUGCAUUGUUGGAAAAGGACAAGUAAGCAUUUCACUGUUGUUUACAGAGCAUGUAAAAUAAUAAAUGGAUUAGAUAUCUUAUCCCAUCUUUAUUUCCCUUAACUGUGCUCUCAGUAUAGAAGCCUGGCAGUGUUGGCUGUGGCCAGAGGCAACAAGGAUGGCUCUUUCCUCAUGUCCAAUGCACUUCAGAAGUUGAAAAAAGGGCAGCGAUGUGUCUCUUGGAACCCUUUUCCCCUUGACCACUGGACUGACCCUUUGAACAAGGUGGGAGACGCCCCUUCCUCUCGCCUCCUCAGUGUCUGCUCCAAUCACAGCAGUGUUUCCUGCCUGCUCGGCCACGUUGUGCAGCGUGCUGUGGAGAUGCUGAAAGCAAGGGCCUACCUGCACUGGUACCAGCACUAUGGUGUGGAGGAGCAGGACUUUCAGCAGGCUUUGGACGCAUGCUCAGCUGUCAUGCAGGAAUAUAACACUCAGUGACAUCCUGUUAGGGCUGCUAAUAAAAAGUCAAGCAGCUGUCUGUCAUAUAUGUCUGAAGAAUGAUGGCAGUGUUGGAAUGGAAACCAGUCAUAAGGUCAACUUAACACUUGUGUGAAGUGAACAUGAUGAAGCACUAUGGACUUCAAUUCAGAGCCAUAGAAGUAGGUUAUGGCUUUGCUUCAAUGGUCAUUGUACAGUCAAAUAUUCCCAAUUGUUUUUUUUAAUAGUUUUUUAAAUCCUUUUUCCUGUCUCAGGUGUUGGAUGAUAUUAAAUAUUUAAUUUGUAAUAAAAUGUGUAUUUCAGAUGUCUCACAAAUGAAUAGCCCAUAAAGUAAACCAUCUCCCCCAAAGGACAUGGGCGGAACAAUCUCCAUAUUUUGUUCUUCAGUCACUCUGAGAAUGUGCUGUGGCGGGCAGGCCGCAAGCAAUGUUGGCAGUUGAGGAAUGUUGGGACAGGGAUACAGAAAGGUGGAUUUCUGAGGAGGAAUUUGAGGGAGAUGGCGAUAAAAAAUGGAGAUUGGGUGUUGAAGAAGGUUGGUGUCAAGUGUGAACAGAGUGAGCUGCGUUCUGGAGUGUGUUAUUUCAUAGUUGUGAUGGCUUCCCUAUUAUUCUACAAUGUAGAAAAUAGUAAAAAUAAAGAAAACCCCUUGAAUGAG
Salmo salar (Atlantic salmon) is the source of this 1163-nucleotide long non-coding RNA. RefSeq lists it as uncharacterized. The record is from RefSeq and is a predicted model, not a curated record. Lineage: Eukaryota; Metazoa; Chordata; Actinopteri; Salmoniformes; Salmonidae.